UACGUAGGGUGCAAGCGUUGUCCGGAAUCAUUGGGCGUAAAGAGCUCGUAGGCGGUCUGUUGCGUCGGCUGUGAAAACCCGGGGCUCAACCCCGGGCCUGCAGCCGAUACGGGCAGACUAGAGUUCGGCAGGGGAGACUGGAAUUCCUGGUGUAGCGGUGAAAUGCGCAGAUAUCAGGAGGAACACCGGUGGCGAAGGCGGGUCUCUGGGCCGAUACUGACGCUGAGGAGCGAAAGCGUGGGGAGCGAACAGG
This 253-nucleotide ribosomal RNA is filed under the name uncultured bacterium. Its description in RNAcentral is "partial 16S ribosomal RNA". It matches the Rfam family "Bacterial small subunit ribosomal RNA", at positions 524 to 776 of the family's 1533-position model. The record is from RNAcentral.